RNAcentral lists this ribosomal RNA (675 nucleotides) under Arthrobacter sp. RNAcentral describes it as "bacterial SSU rRNA". It matches the Rfam family "Bacterial small subunit ribosomal RNA", at positions 332 to 1017 of the family's 1533-position model. Lineage: Bacteria; Bacillati; Actinomycetota; Actinomycetes; Micrococcales; Micrococcaceae. The record is from RNAcentral.
UUUAUUCUUACGGGAGGCAGCAGGGGGAAUAUUGCACAAUGGGCGGAAGCCUGAUGCAGCGACGCCGCGUGAGGGAUGACGGCCUUCGGGUUGUAAACCUCUUUCAGUAGGGAAGAAGCGAAAGUGACGGUACCUGCAGAAGAAGCGCCGGCUAACUACGUGCCAGCAGCCGCGGUAAUACGUAGGGCGCAAGCGUUAUCCGGAAUUAUUGGGCGUAAAGAGCUCGUAGGCGGUUUGUCGCGUCUGCCGUGAAAGUCCGGGGCUCAACUCCGGAUCUGCGGUGGGUACGGGCAGACUAGAGUGAUGUAGGGGAGACUGGAAUUCCUGGUGUAGCGGUGAAAUGCGCAGAUAUCAGGAGGAACACCGAUGGCGAAGGCAGGUCUCUGGGCAUUAACUGACGCUGAGGAGCGAAAGCAUGGGGAGCGAACAGGAUUAGAUACCCUGGUAGUCCAUGCCGUAAACGUUGGGCACUAGGUGUGGGGGACAUUCCACGUUUUCCGCGCCGUAGCUAACGCAUUAAGUGCCCCGCCUGGGGAGUACGGCCGCAAGGCUAAAACUCAAAGGAAUUGACGGGGGCCCGCACAAGCGGCGGAGCAUGCGGAUUAAUUUGAUGCAACGCGAAGAACCUUACCAAGGCUUGACAUGAACCGGUAAGACCUGAAACCAGUCCCCCCC